Molecule: ribosomal RNA, 375 nt
Filed under: uncultured Streptococcus sp.
Lineage: Bacteria; Bacillati; Bacillota; Bacilli; Lactobacillales; Streptococcaceae
Description: bacterial SSU rRNA
Rfam family: Bacterial small subunit ribosomal RNA
Source: RNAcentral
AUAGAGAGUUACUUCGGUUACGAUCGUGGACAGGUGGCGCGAUGGUUGUCGUCAGCUCGUGUCGUGAGAUGUUGGGUUAAGUCCCGCAACGAGCGCAACCCCUAUUGUUAGUUGCCAUCAUUCAGUUGGGCACUCUAGCGAGACUGCCGGUAAUAAACCGGAGGAAGUGGGAUGACGUCAAAUCAUCAUGCCCCUUAUGACCUGGGCUACACACGUGCUACAAUGGUUGGUACAACGAGUUGCGAGUCGGUGACGGCGAGCUAAUCUCUUAAAGCCAAUCUCAGUUCGGAUUGUAGGCUGCAACUCGCCUACAUGAAGUCGGAAUCGCUAGUAAUCGCGGAUCAGCACGCCGCGGUGAAUACGUUCCCGGGCCUU